Magallana angulata is the source of this 1008-nucleotide long non-coding RNA. RefSeq lists it as uncharacterized. The transcript is spliced from 4 exons. Lineage: Eukaryota; Metazoa; Mollusca; Bivalvia; Ostreida; Ostreidae. The record is from RefSeq and is a predicted model, not a curated record.
CACUUCAUAAAAGUUAAAAUAUUUUUUAAAACCAUUUUAAAGUUCUUAGACAAAACUGUGAACAAGUUGUAGAUGCAUUUUAGCAUAAAAGUCAAGGAACAACUUUAGUGUAUACUUGUUAUGUGGUUAUAUUGGUUAUAACACCUGUGUUGGUUACAGUUGGUGCUGACAGUGAUGUUGACCAGUGUAGUGGUCUAUAUCUACACAGUGAUAGCCUUCAACUUCUUCCGCAAGUUCUACGUCAAAGAGGAGGACGGGUCUGUCGACUACAAGUGCCAUGACAUGCUGACCAUACGUAGUACUUCUAUUCAUUGGUUCAAAAUUAUGUGCUGAUAGUAUGAUUUCUAUUAUUUGGUAGAAGGGUGACAAGUUUUGUUAAUACAUAAUAGAAUAAUUUUUUAUUUGUGAUUCUUCCAAGCUGUUUCCGAGCAUUGAUGAUACAUAUUCCUACAAAAAUACUUUGUCUAUUUCAGUGAUUUGUGUAUCACUUGCACACUGGAGUAAGGGCAGGAGGGGGAAUUGGUGAUGAGAUAGAGCCGGCGGACGGCGGUCCGUCGGAGGUCUACAGGAUCCUGUUUGACAUCACCUUCUGGCCAUUUUUCAAGGUUUGAUCAUUGGUGCCUUUGGAGAAUUGAGAGAUCAACUGGAACAAGUCAAGGAGGACAUGGUGGUUAAGUCAGGAUGAAAUGGUGGAUUUAUUUUGUUUUUGUUGCAUUUCAAAUAAUCCAAUCCUUGUUAUCUAAAAUUCUGUUUUACAGUCCAAGCGUUUCAUUUGUGGAAUUGGGAAAAAAAUAUUUCGAUAAAGUACUGUACUGCAGUAUGGUUUUGAAACCCAUGUCAUGAAAGAAUAUAAUUUUGCAGAUUACAUGAUUUUCCUGAUGCACUUGAUCAACAAGCCAGACACAGAGUAUACAGGACAGGAGUCGAAUGUGUGGGAGCUCUACCAGCAGUGCUGCUGGGACUUCUUCCCAGUUGGAGACUGCUUCAGGAAACUGUACGAGGACGAGG